Molecule: long non-coding RNA, 398 nt
Filed under: Trifolium pratense (red clover)
Lineage: Eukaryota; Viridiplantae; Streptophyta; Magnoliopsida; Fabales; Fabaceae
Description: long non-coding RNA (TPRA_LNC009562)
Source: RNAcentral
UAUAUAUAUAAGGGUUGCUAAUUUACAACCAACUAAAACAAUUAAGGUGUAAAUUAGCAAGGUGCACCUUUUCACUUUGGACAAUAAAACCAUUCAUAUUUAUUAUUUAAAACUAGUAACUUGAGGAUAAUUAGGUAAUUUUCAUUUAAAAUAUUCUUUAAAUGAAAAAGGAAAAGGAAGGGAUAUGUUCAUGUCAGUUCGGUGCUUCUGCUUCCUUUUCCCUCUUCAACCUUCUAUCGUCGUCCCACCACCACAUGACCCCACAAUCGACACUGACCACCACCGCUUAUUUGUUUAUAUCCACCGCCGCUACACAACGUUGUUGUUUUCACCCACUUCCAUUUGCAACCGGCCUUCAUCUUUGUCGUCACCACCUUCGUUUUACAGGCCAUCGUCGU